ACUACCAUAGCUUAAUGGAAAAGCUCCCGAAAUGGAAGAAGGGGGGUUCAAUUCCCCCCGGUGGUA
This is a transfer RNA of 66 nucleotides. It matches the Rfam family "tRNA". Rfam says of the family: Transfer RNA (tRNA) molecules are approximately 80 nucleotides in length. Their secondary structure includes four short double-helical elements and three loops (D, anti-codon, and T loops). Further hydrogen bonds mediate the characteristic L-shaped molecular structure. tRNAs have two regions of fundamental functional importance: the anti-codon, which is responsible for specific mRNA codon recognition, and the 3' end, to which the tRNAs corresponding amino acid is attached (by aminoacyl-tRNA synthetases). tRNAs cope with the degeneracy of the genetic code in two manners: having more than one tRNA (with a specific anti-codon) for a particular amino acid; and 'wobble' base-pairing, i.e. permitting non-standard base-pairing at the 3rd anti-codon position. The record is from Rfam.